AGCUUUGCACAGUGGCAGCAUCAUAGCCAAUGAGGUUUAUCCGAGGCACAAUUAUUGCUAAUUAAAAGGAGUACACACCAUAACCAAGUGGAAUUGAUUUCUAAAUUCAAGAUGGUUCAACUGAUGUAAAUCA
RNAcentral lists this small nuclear RNA (133 nucleotides) under Chinchilla lanigera (long-tailed chinchilla). RNAcentral's name for it is "U4 spliceosomal RNA (ENSCLAG00000020761.1)". It matches the Rfam family "U4 spliceosomal RNA". Rfam says of the family: U4 small nuclear RNA (U4 snRNA) is a component of the major U2-dependent spliceosome. The structure of U4 snRNA from yeast and human has been reported. The record is from Rfam by way of RNAcentral. Lineage: Eukaryota; Metazoa; Chordata; Mammalia; Rodentia; Chinchillidae.